This 1389-nucleotide ribosomal RNA is filed under the name metagenome. Its description in RNAcentral is "bacterial LSU rRNA". It matches the Rfam family "Bacterial large subunit ribosomal RNA", at positions 1513 to 2925 of the family's 2925-position model. The record is from RNAcentral.
AAAGCGUAUAGCAGUCAUGCAGGCAAAACCGCAUGAAAAAUGUAAAGCGUUAUGUGGAUCGAACAUUAGUAGAGAAGCGUGUGAGCCAGCUGCCAAGAAAAGCCGCUAUUGCUUCAUAAGUACCCGUACCGUAAACCGACACAGGUGGAUGAGGAGAGAAUCCUAAGGCCGGCGGGAGAAGUGUUGUUAAGGAACUCGGCAAAAUGACUCCGUAACUUCGGGAGAAGGAGUGCCACAGAGAUGUGGCCGCAGAGAAAUGGCCCAAGCAACUGUUUAGCAAAAACACAGGUCUAUGCAAAACCGAAAGGUGAGGUAUAUGGGCUGACGCCUGCCCGGUGCUGGAAGGUUAAGAGGAGAGGUUAGAGCAAUCGAAGCUUUGAAUUUAAGCCCCAGUAAACGGCGGCCGUAACGAUAACGGUCCUAAGGUAGCGAAAUUCCUUGUCGGGUAAGUUCCGACCCGCACGAAAGGCGUAAUGAUUUGGGCACUGUCUCAACAACACACCCGGUGAAAUUGAAAUACCAGUGAAGAUGCUGGUUACCUGCGCCAGGACGGAAAGACCCCAUGGAGCUUUACUCCAGUUUGAUACUGGGAUUCGGUACUGUCUGUACAGGAUAGGUGGGAGGCUAGGAAAUGGUGACGCCAGUUGCCAUGGAGCCAACCUUGGGAUACCACCCUUACAGUACUGGGUUUCUAACCUGCAGCCGUAACCCGGCUGGGGGACAAUGUCUGACGGGGAGUUUGACUGGGGCGGUCGCCUCCGAAAGAGUAUCGGAGGCGCUCAAAGGUUCCCUCAGAACGGUUGGAAACCGUUCGAAGAGUGCAAAGGCAGAAGGGAGCUUGACUGCGACACCGACGGGUGGAGCAGAUACGAAAGUAGGACUUAGUGAUCCGGUGGUAUAAAGUGGGAUUGCCAUCGCUCAACGGAUAAAAGCUACCCUGGGAUAACAGGCUUAUCACUCCCAAGAGUUCACAUCGACGGAGUGGUUUGGCACCUCGAUGUCGGCUCAUCGCAUCCUGGAGCUGUAGCAGGUUCCAAGGGUUGGGCUGUUCGCCCAUUAAAGCGGUACGCGAGCUGGGUUCAGAACGUCGUGAGACAGUUCGGUCCCUAUCCGGCGUGGGCGUAGGAUAUUUGAGAGGAGCUGUCCUUAGUACGAGAGGACCGGGAUGGACAAACCUCUGGUGUAUCUGUUGUUUUACCAAAGGCAUGGCAGAGUAGCCAAGUUUGGCAGGGAUAAACGCUGAAGGCAUCUAAGCGUGAAGCCCCCCUCAAGAUAAGAUAUCCCAUCUUCGGAGUAAGACCCCUUGAAGACUACAAGGUUGAUAGGCUUUGUGUGUAAGUGCGGUAACGCACUCAGCUGAGAAGUACUAAUAGGUCGAGGACUUACCAA